This is a long non-coding RNA of Ananas comosus (pineapple), 526 nucleotides long. RefSeq lists it as uncharacterized. Lineage: Eukaryota; Viridiplantae; Streptophyta; Magnoliopsida; Poales; Bromeliaceae. The transcript is spliced from 3 exons. The record is from RefSeq and is a predicted model, not a curated record.
GUUAUUUGGACUCAUGGGCUAAAUUGUUAGGCCAAGAAUUUGUUCUUCACACUUAGGGCUAAUUCGGGAAACUCUUGAUACUCUAUUUUGGUCCACUUUAUUCUGUUUUUUUUAAAAAGUACUUUUUUUUUCAGUUAGCAUGUUUGAUAGCCCAAUAAGUUAAAAACAUUAUUGUGUAAUAUAGGCUUUUCGGAGUAACAUUGUGUAAGCAUUGUCAGUCAACCCUUCCCAGAAGUGCGAGCUAUUAUUGUUAUUUCUAAAAGCCAUCACAUUGUUCUUCCUCCCUUUGUGAUGAUUGCUGAUGACGAGCAUCAAUGACAUGUUUAAUCUACAUUUAUUUGCUUCUACAUUUGGUUACCAGCAUGUAGCAAAGCAGGUAGCUUUGCAUGAUGAAUUUGACUCGUAUUUAGAUUCAUGUGAUUCAAUACAGCAUGAUAGUUCUAUUAAUGAACUUCUUGAAGAUGAGACGGUGGUGACGUGUGAGACCCCAGAUAGUCCUAUAUAUGAGAUAUAAUAGGGCUAAACU